GCUGUUGUCACUUAGCAUAUGCAACCUUGGGCUGGAUGGGACAUGCUUGUGUUUUUUGGAGUCUAAAUCUGCUGGCUUGGGCACCGAUGCUUUCCUUUCUCCUACUGUCUUGUCUCGGGACAGAGCUUCCAUCUCCACCAACAACCAUUCAGGGAGGAAUUCACACUUCCACAUGGAGGCUUUUCUUUCAGAAAACCAGUCAAGAAACAUCAACCAGGUGAAAGCAGGGAAUGAGACACAAAUUUCAGAAUUUCUUCUUCUAGGAUUUUCAGAGAAACAAGAAUUGCAGCCCUUCCUCUUUGGGCUGUUCCUGUCCAUGUACCUGGUCACUGUGCUCGGGAACCUGCUCAUCAUCCUGGCCGCAAUCUCAGACUCCUGCCUCCACACCCCCAUGUACUUCUUUCUCUCCAACCUGUCCUUCGUAGAUAUCUGUUUUGCCUCCACCAUGGUCCCAAAGAUGUUGGUGAACAUCCAGACACAGAGCAAAGUCAUUACCUAUGCAGGUUGCAUCACCCAGAUGUGCUUUUUUGUACUCUUUAUAGUGUUGGACAGCUUACUCCUGACCGUGAUGGCCUAUGACCAGUUUGUGGCCAUCUGUCACCCCCUGCACUACACGGUCAUCAUGAGCCCUCAGCUCUGUGGACUGCUGGUUCUGGUGUCCUGGAUCAUGAGUGUCCUAAACUCCAUGUUACAAAGCUUAGUGACAUUGCAGUUGUCCUUCUGCACAGACUUGGAAAUCCCUCACUUUUUCUGUGAACUUAAUGAGAUGAUCCACCUUGCCUGUUCUGACACCUUUGUGAACAACAUGGUGAUGCAUUUUGCAGCUGUGCUGCUGGACGGUGGUCCUCUCGUUGGGAUCCUUUAUUCUUACUGUAGGAUAGUUUCCUCCAUACGUGCAAUCUCGUCAACUCAGGGGAAGUACAAGGCACUUUCCACCUGUGCAUCUCACCUCUCAGUUGUCUCCAUAUUUUAUGGUACGGGGCUAGGGGUGUACCUUAGCUCUACUAUGACCCAAAACUUACACUCAACUGCUGUCGCCUCGGUGAUGUACACUGUGGUCACCCCCAUGCUCAACCCCUUCAUUUACAGUCUGAGGAAUAAAGACAUAAAGGGGGCUCUGACACAAUUCUUCAGAGGGAAACAAUAAAAGAGCCAUUUUUCGGCUGGGCACAGUGGCUCAAGCCUGUAAUCCCAGCACUUUGGGAGGCAGAGGUGGGCA
RNAcentral lists this long non-coding RNA (1219 nucleotides) under Homo sapiens (human). RNAcentral's name for it is "novel transcript". Lineage: Eukaryota; Metazoa; Chordata; Mammalia; Primates; Hominidae. The record is from RNAcentral.